Molecule: long non-coding RNA, 1070 nt
Organism: Mustela lutreola (European mink)
Lineage: Eukaryota; Metazoa; Chordata; Mammalia; Carnivora; Mustelidae
Exons: 5
Source: RefSeq, a predicted model, not a curated record
GGUAAUCCUUCAGAGAGAGAAGAGCCUGUGCAAAAUCUUGGAGCACAAGGCACCUUUAUGGUAUGUGGUUCAGCUCCAAAGACCUAAAUAAAGAUACAUGUAGGUGAGGAUAUAUGAUGGGAGAGGUACCAGCCAGACUGUGGAGUCUAGCCUUCAGAUGGUAGGCCAGGGAGGGGUAGAGGGGGUGUAGGUUCAUACCCUGGAUCUUCUCUACCAGAAGGGGAAGGGUAAUCUCAGGCUACAGUAGAGUUGUUUGCUCCCACAAAGCUGAUUUUCCCCCAGUCUUCUUGAAUGCAUAGAACCUUGUGGCAUCACUAUGACCACUGCUAUGGUCUGAAUAUUUAUAUCCCCCUCCCCAACACCAAAACAAAUUUUGUUGAAAACUAAUGCCCAAAGUGAAGACUUUAGUAGAUUGGGCCUUUGAAAAGUGAUUAGGUCAUAAAGGCAGAGCCUUAACAAAUGGGGUCAGCGUCCUCAUAAAGAGGCCCCAGAGAGCAUCUUUGCCCCUUCUGCAGCAUGAGAGGAUACAAGAAGUUGGCAGUCUGCAGCCUGGAUUGGAAAAGGGCCCUCACCCAACCAUGCUGGCACCUUGAUUUGAGUCUUCCAGCAUCCAGACUGUAUGCCUUGCAGAUCUUCUACACCCAUCAAGCUGCUGCUUACUGUAGUUGCUUCUGCUGUUCGACAUCCUCUCAUCUUUGAAGUCUGCAAGUACACUGCAGAUAGACCACAUCUUGUUAUGCACUGAAAGCUCCUGGGCAAUGUGGUCAACCAAAUCAAGCAUGUCUAGGAUCAGAUUUGGGUGAAAACAGGAAGGAAGGGAGAGCUGGACACCUAACUCUGGGAGGUCAGAGCCAAGAACUCUGCAGUGAUUAAUUCAACAGUAUGCGUGAGCACUGCAGCACUACUGCCUAACACUUGCUUCAAAGGACAGCAUGUCCUAACCAAUCAAUGUGAAACUGUCCCACACAGCCACUGCUUCCAUUUAAGAGCAAAGAACACCUGGACUAUUAUUAUGCCUUACUACGGGGAAAAAUAAACCCUCUUCUGGUACAAGAUCAAAACAAGACCAA